This 253-nucleotide ribosomal RNA is filed under the name uncultured bacterium. Its description in RNAcentral is "partial 16S ribosomal RNA". It matches the Rfam family "Bacterial small subunit ribosomal RNA", at positions 524 to 776 of the family's 1533-position model. The record is from RNAcentral.
UACGGAGGGUGCGAGCGUUAAUCGGAAUUACUGGGCGUAAAGCGCACGCAGGCGGUUUGUCAAGCUAGAUGUGAAAGCCCCGGGCUCAACCUGGGAUGGUCAUUUAGAACUGGCAGACUAGAGUCUUGGAGAGGGGAGUGGAAUUCCAGGUGUAGCGGUGAAAUGCGUAGAUAUCUGGAGGAACAUCAGUGGCGAAGGCGACUCCCUGGCCAAAGACUGACGCUCAUGUGCGAAAGUGUGGGUAGCGAACAGG